CGCCAACUUGCUAAAACACACGGUCUCCAAAACCGUAGACGGAGGUUCGACUCCUCCAUGGCGCG
RNAcentral lists this transfer RNA (65 nucleotides) under Bifidobacterium longum subsp. longum. RNAcentral describes it as "tRNA-Xxx". RNAcentral also lists the same sequence under 2 other names. The record is from RNAcentral. Lineage: Bacteria; Bacillati; Actinomycetota; Actinomycetes; Bifidobacteriales; Bifidobacteriaceae.